GGAGACGUGGCCGAGUGGCUGAAGGCAACGGUUUGCUAAAUCGUCAUACGCUGUAAGGCGUAUCGAGGGUUCGAAUCCCUCCGUCUCCGCCA
RNAcentral lists this transfer RNA (92 nucleotides) under Phyllobacteriaceae bacterium. RNAcentral describes it as "tRNA-Ser". It matches the Rfam family "tRNA". Rfam says of the family: Transfer RNA (tRNA) molecules are approximately 80 nucleotides in length. Their secondary structure includes four short double-helical elements and three loops (D, anti-codon, and T loops). RNAcentral also lists the same sequence under 2 other names. Lineage: Bacteria; Pseudomonadati; Pseudomonadota; Alphaproteobacteria; Hyphomicrobiales; Phyllobacteriaceae. The record is from RNAcentral.